CUUAACCGGGCGUUAAGUUGCAGGGUAUAGACCCGAAACCCGGUGAUCUAGCCAUGGGCAGGUUGAAGGUUGGGUAACACUAACUGGAGGACCGAACCGACUAAUGUUGAAAAAUUAGCGGAUGACCUGUGGCUGGGGGUGAAAGGCCAAUCAAACCGGGAGAUAGCUGGUUCUCCCCGAAAGCUAUUUAGGUAGCGCCUCGUGAAUUCAUCUCCGGGGGUAGAGCACUGUUUCGGCUAGGGGGCCAUCCCGGCUUACCAACCCGAUGCAAACUGCGAAUACCGGAGAAUGUUAUCACGGGAGACACACGGCGGGUGCUAACGUCCGUCGUGAAGAGGGAAACAACCCAGACCGCCAGCUAAGGUCCCAAAGUCAUGGUUAAGUGGGAAACGAUGUGGGAAGGCCCAGACAGCCAGGAUGUUGGCUUAGAAGCAGCCAUCAUUUAAAGAAAGCGUAAUAGCUCACUGGUCGAGUCGGCCUGCGCGGAAGAUGUAACGGGGCUAAACCAUGCACCGAAGCUGCGGCAGCGACACUCAGGUGUUGUUGGGUAGGGGAGCGUUCUGUAAGCCUGCGAAGGUGGCCUGUGAGGGUUGCUGGAGGUAUCAGAAGUGCGAAUGCUGACAUAAGUAACGAUAAAGCGGGUGAAAAGCCCGCUCGCCGGAAGACCAAGGGUUCCUGUCCAACGUUAAUCGGGGCAGGGUGAGUCGACCCCUAAGGCGAGGCCGAAAGGCGUAGUCGAUGGGAAACGGGUUAAUAUUCCCGUACUUGGUGUUACUGCGAAGGGGGGACGGAGAAGGCUAUGUUGGCCGGGCGACGGUUGUCCCGGUUUAAGCGUGUAGGUGUGUGUUCCAGGUAAAUCCGGUUCACUUUAACACUGAGGCGUGACGACGAGGCACUACGGUGCUGAAGCAACAAAUGCCCUGCUUCCAGGAAAAGCCUCUAAGCAUCAGGUAACAUCAAAUCGUACCCCAAACCGACACAGGUGGUCAGGUAGAGAAUACCAAGGCGCUUGAGAGAACUCGGGUGAAGGAACUAGGCAAAAUGGUGCCGUAACUUCGGGAGAAGGCACGCUGACAUGUAGGUGAAGUGAUUUACUCAUGGAGCUGAAGUCAGUCGAAGAUACCAGCUGGCUGCAACUGUUUAUUAAAAACACAGCACUGUGCAAACACGAAAGUGGACGUAUACGGUGUGACGCCUGCCCGGUGCCGGAAGGUUAAUUGAUGGGGUCAGCGCAAGCGAAGCUCCUGAUCGAAGCCCCGGUAAACGGCGGCCGUAACUAUAACGGUCCUAAGGUAGCGAAAUUCCUUGUCGGGUAAGUUCCGACCUGCACGAAUGGCGUAAUGAUGGCCAGGCUGUCUCCACCCGAGACUCAGUGAAAUUGAACUCGCUGUGAAGAUGCAGUGUACCCGCGGCAAGACGGAAAGACCCCGUGAACCUUUACUAUAGCUUGACACUGAACAUUGAGCCUUGAUGUGUAGGAUAGGUGGGAGGCUUUGAAGUGUGG
This 1504-nucleotide ribosomal RNA is filed under the name Salmonella enterica subsp. enterica serovar Panama. RNAcentral's name for it is "partial 23S ribosomal RNA". It matches the Rfam family "Bacterial large subunit ribosomal RNA", at positions 683 to 2167 of the family's 2925-position model. Lineage: Bacteria; Pseudomonadati; Pseudomonadota; Gammaproteobacteria; Enterobacterales; Enterobacteriaceae. The record is from RNAcentral.